Long non-coding RNA from Astatotilapia calliptera (eastern happy), 1365 nucleotides. Lineage: Eukaryota; Metazoa; Chordata; Actinopteri; Cichliformes; Cichlidae. The record is from Ensembl.
GUUAAGUAUUUUUAGAACAACUAAAGAAAAUCUAACUAUUCUUUACAAAUCCAAUAAAAACUAACUGUAAAGACAGUGAAAAUACAACAUUUCUGCAUUUGACAAUUGUGGCUAAGAGAGAGCUGAGCAUGAUUUACCGGUCCAUCUAUGUUCAUACCCUCUCCUAUAGUCAUAGGCUCUGAGUAGUGUCCAUAAGAAUGAAAUUGCGGAUAUAAGCAGCAGAAAUGAGCUUUCCCCGAAAAGGUGGCUGACCUCUCCCCUAGACUGAGGAAUUCAGUCAUCUGAGAGGCGCUAAGAGUAGAGCUGUUAGUCCUCCACACUGAUAGAAGCCAAUUGAGGUAGUUCAGACACCGAACAACGAUGCCUCCUGGGUAAGGUGUUUUUGGCAUGUCCCACCAGGGGGAGACUCAGGACAUGCUGGAGAGAUUGCAUCUCACAGCUGGCCCGGGAAUACCUCAGUGUUCCCCUGGAUAAGCUUGAAGAGGUGGCUGUGGAAGGUUUAGGUGUCCUUGUGUAGGCUGCUGCUCCCACAACCUACGGUGGCUGGGAAGUGCAAAGCGCAACAAAUUAAAAAACGGCAACAAAUUAAAAAUCUACAACAAAUUAAAAAACCGCAACAAAUUAAAAAUCCACAACAAAUUAAAAAACCGCAACAAAUUAAAAAACCGCAACAAAUUAAAAAUCCACAACAAAUUAAAAAACCGCAACAAAUUAAAAAUCCACAACAAAUUAAAAAACCGCAACAAAUUAAAAAACCACAACAAAUUAAAAAUCCGCAACAAAUUAAAAAUCCACAACAAAUUAAAAAACCACAACAAAUUAAAAAUCCACAACAAAUUAAAAAACCGCAACAAAUUAAAAAACCGCAACAAAUUAAAAAUCCACAACAAAUUAAAAAACCGCAACAAAUUAAAAAUCCUUGACGGAAAGGGAUUGUCUGAAAUACCGGAAGUCGAGAGUGAUGUCACGAGAGGGGGCGUGGCCAGGAUUUUUGGUUGAGGCGCCAUGUUUCUGGGCCGAACAAAGCGCUAGCGAAAGAGGAGCGAAAGUACACGGAUAACACCAGCUAUGGUUCGUACUUGCUGUGCGGUCGGUUGUAAAGUUAGAUCGCACGACCGGUGUUGUGCCAAAAAGUGAUUGUCUGCCAAAAACUGAUUGCCGGUAUUUGCCAAAAAGCGAUUGCUCAUAUUUAAAGUGCUAUAAGUAACUUGUUGGGCUAUAAUAUGUUAAACAUAUGUCAAAUGCAUCCCUUAUGGAUGACAUAAAGUUAUCUUGAGCCACAAACAACAUUCGUGUAGCAAGAUACAAGCCGCAAUCAGUUUUUGGCAGCGACUUUUAUAUAACCUUUAUUUAUGCAGUAAAAAA